This 264-nucleotide unclassified non-coding RNA is filed under the name Hevea brasiliensis (rubber tree). The record is from RNAcentral. Lineage: Eukaryota; Viridiplantae; Streptophyta; Magnoliopsida; Malpighiales; Euphorbiaceae.
GGCAACUGAAUCUUUACAGAACCAAAAUGCAUCAUAUAUAACAAGUUAUUACUACAAAACUAAUGUCAAAUAAGCAAAAUAAUAAUAAUGCUAGUCAGUAUGGAAGGAAUUCUUUCCCUACCCAAUAGUAAAGCUUUCUAUUCUUACUCAUGAUUUUUGGACAAGAGAGAAAAGCAUCACAAGCAAGGCAUACUUGACAAUUAGCAUGCACAGCAAAAAGUUGAUGACUAAACAUAAAAGGAUUAAUUAUGUGGAGAAGGCAAU